RNAcentral lists this ribosomal RNA (255 nucleotides) under uncultured bacterium. RNAcentral describes it as "partial 16S ribosomal RNA". It matches the Rfam family "Bacterial small subunit ribosomal RNA", at positions 524 to 776 of the family's 1533-position model. The record is from RNAcentral.
UACGUAGGGUGCAAGCGUUGUCCGGAAUUAUUGGGCGUAAAGAGCUCGUAGGCGGUCUGUCGCGUCUGCUGUGAAAACUCGGGGCUUAACCCUGAGCUUGCGGUCGAUACGGGCAUGACUGGAGUUCGGCAGGGGAGACUGGAAUUCCUGGUGUAGCGGUGAAAUGCGCAGAUAUCAGGAGGAACACCGGUGGCGAAGGCGGGGUCUCUGGGCCGAUACUGACGCUGAGGAGCGAAAGCGUGGGGAGCGAACAGG